AAUAGAUACCCUGGUAGUCCUAGCCGUAAACGAUACUCGCUAGGUGUCGGCCACGGUGCGACCGUUGUCGGUGCCGUAGGGAAGCCGUGAAGCGAGCCACCUGGGAAGUACGGCCGCAAGGCUGAAACUUAAAGGAAUUGGCGGGGGAGCACCACAACGGGUGGAGCUUGCGGUUUAAUUGGAUUCAACGCCGGAAAUCUUACCGGGACCGACAGCAAUAUGAAGGCCAGGCUGAAGACUUUGCCGGAUUAGCUGAGAGGUGGUGCAUGGCCGUCGUCAGUUCGUACUGUGAAGCAUCCUGUUAAGUCAGGCAACGAGCGAGACCCACGCCCACAGUUGCCAGCGUACUCUCUGGAGUGACGGGUACACUGUGGGGACCGCCGCUGCUAAAGCGGAGGAAGGAAUGGGCAACGGUAGGUCAGUAUGCCCCGAAUAUCCCGGGCUACACGCGAGCUACAAUGGUUGGUACAAUGGGUAUCUACCCCGAAAGGGGACGGGAAUCUCCUAAAACCAAUCUUAGUUCGGAUUGAGGGCUGCAACUCGCCCUCA
RNAcentral lists this ribosomal RNA (549 nucleotides) under uncultured bacterium. Its description in RNAcentral is "bacterial SSU rRNA". It matches the Rfam family "Archaeal small subunit ribosomal RNA", at positions 728 to 1276 of the family's 1478-position model. The record is from RNAcentral.